Molecule: ribosomal RNA, 505 nt
Filed under: uncultured bacterium
Lineage: Bacteria
Description: bacterial SSU rRNA
Rfam family: Bacterial small subunit ribosomal RNA
Source: RNAcentral
GAUGAACGCUAGCUACAGGCUUAACACAUGCAAGUCGAGGGGAAACGAUAGAGAAAGCUUGCUUUUUCUAGGCGUCGACCGGCGCACGGGUGAGUAACGCGUAUCCAACCUGCCCAUCACUUGGGGAUAACCUUGCGAAAGUAAGACUAAUACCCAAUGAUAUCUCUAGAAGACAUCUGAAAGAGAUUAAAGAUUUAUCGGUGAUGGAUGGGGAUGCGUCUGAUUAGCUUGUUGGCGGGGUAACGGCCCACCAAGGCGACGAUCAGUAGGGGUUCUGAGAGGAAGGUCCCCCACAUUGGAACUGAGACACGGUCCAAACUCCUACGGGAGGCAGCAGUGAGGAAUAUUGGUCAAUGGGCGAGAGCCUGAACCAGCCAAGUAGCGUGAAGGAUGACGGCCCUAUGGGUUGUAAACUGCUUUUAUAAGGGAAUAAAGUGGGAGUCGUGACUCUUUUUGCAUGUACCUUAUGAAUAAGGACCGGCUAAUUCCGUGCCAGCAGCCGCGG